AAUCAACGCUGGCGGCGUGCCUAACACAUGCAAGUCGAACGAGAAGGUGACUUCGGUCACUGGAUAGUGGCGUCCGGGUGAGUAACACGUAGGUAAUCUACCUUCGGGUGGGAAUAACGUCUCGAAGAGACGCUAAUACCGCAUAAUGCAGCGGCACCUAAUAGGUGAUUAGUUGUUAAAGACGGGGAGUCUUCGGACCUCGCGCCUGAAGAGGAGCUCGCGGCAGAUUAGCUAGUUGGUGAGGUAA
Molecule: ribosomal RNA, 247 nt
Filed under: uncultured bacterium
Lineage: Bacteria
Description: partial 16S ribosomal RNA
Rfam family: Bacterial small subunit ribosomal RNA
Source: RNAcentral